This 497-nucleotide ribosomal RNA is filed under the name uncultured bacterium. RNAcentral describes it as "partial 16S ribosomal RNA". It matches the Rfam family "Bacterial small subunit ribosomal RNA", at positions 28 to 507 of the family's 1533-position model. The record is from RNAcentral.
GAUGAACGCUGGCGGCGUGCCUAAUACAUGCAAGUCGAGCGAACGGACGAGAAGCUUGCUUCUCUGAUGUUAGCGGCGGACGGGUGAGUAACACGUGGAUAACCUACCUAUAAGACUGGGAUAACUUCGGGAAACCGGAGCUAAUACCGGAUAAUAUUUUGCACCGCAUGGUUCAAAAGUGGAAGACGGUCUUGCUGUCACUUAUAGAUGGAUCCGCGCUGCAUUAGCUAGUUGGUAAGGUAACGGCUUACCAAGGCAACGAUGCAUAGCCGACCUGAGAGGGUGAUCGGCCACACUGGAACUGAGACACGGUCCAGACGACUACGGGAGGCAGCAGUAGGGAAUCUUCCGCAAUGGGCGAAAGCCUGACGGAGCAACGCCGCGUGAGUGAUGAAGGUCUUCGGAUCGUAAAACUCUGUUAUUAGGGAAGAACAUAUGUGUAAGUAACUGUGCACAUCUUGACGGUACCUAAUCAGAAAGCCACGGCUAACUACGUG